UACGCUUAACCAUUGACUCCUAACUCUUA
Molecule: non-coding RNA, 29 nt
Filed under: Rattus norvegicus (Norway rat)
Lineage: Eukaryota; Metazoa; Chordata; Mammalia; Rodentia; Muridae
Source: RNAcentral